AUGCAAGACCACCUUAGACGUAUCCAGAACAAAGAAAUUCAUUACCAUUAUCUUAGUCAUAAAAUUCAGAACGAGUUGAUAUCUCUUUUGGCUGCUAACAUCACAUGUUCUAUUAUAAAGGUUGUUAAAGAGGCCAAGUAUUUCUCUAUUAUCCUAGAUUGUACCCCUGAUGACACUUCUGGCUUAGGGAUUUUUAAAGUACUUCUUGAAUCUAUGGAGACUUUUGGCUUAAAUAUUAAUGAUAUAAGGGGUCAAGGAUAUGACAAUGGUUCUAACAUGAAAGGAAAAUACCGAGGGGUAUAAUCUAGGUUACUUGAUGUGAAUCCAAGAGCAUUAUACAUGCCAUGUGCUUGUCAUAGUCUCAACCUCACUCUC
Molecule: ribosomal RNA, 375 nt
Filed under: Triticum aestivum (bread wheat)
Lineage: Eukaryota; Viridiplantae; Streptophyta; Magnoliopsida; Poales; Poaceae
Description: partial small subunit ribosomal RNA
Source: RNAcentral